UACGGGAGGCAGCAGUAGGGAAUCUUUCACAAUGGGCGAAAGCCUGAUGGAGCAACGCCGCGUGCAGGAUGACGGCCUUCGGGUUGUAAACUGCUUUUAUAAGUGAGGAAUAUGACGGUAACUUAUGAAUAAGGAUCGGCUAACUACGUGCCAGCAGCCGCGGUAAU
This 167-nucleotide ribosomal RNA is filed under the name uncultured rumen bacterium. Its description in RNAcentral is "partial 16S ribosomal RNA". It matches the Rfam family "Bacterial small subunit ribosomal RNA", at positions 340 to 524 of the family's 1533-position model. The record is from RNAcentral.